This 253-nucleotide ribosomal RNA is filed under the name uncultured bacterium. RNAcentral's name for it is "partial 16S ribosomal RNA". It matches the Rfam family "Bacterial small subunit ribosomal RNA", at positions 524 to 776 of the family's 1533-position model. The record is from RNAcentral.
UACGGAGGGUGCAAGCGUUAUCCGGAUUUAUUGGGUUUAAAGGGUACGUAGGCGGUGGAGUAAGUCAGUGGUGAAAGCCAACAGCUCAACUGUUGAACUGCCAUUGAUACUGCUUCACUUGAGUGCAGUUGAGGUGGGUGGAAUUCCGGGUGUAGCGGUGGAAUGCGUAGAGAUCCGGAAGAACACCGGUGGCGAAGGCGGCCUGCUGGGCAGUAGCUGACGCUGAUGCGCGACAGCGUAGGGAGCAAACAGG